CACAUUAAUAGACCUUAUUUGAGGAGAUCCCUAACACCCAAAACAGCGCAGCUUUUCCCCUUCUUCUGCAUUCCCUCAUCAUCUUCCAAAAUAGCUCACCCAUCUUCUUCUUCCUCACUUCUAACAGAGAGCAAAGACAACAAAUCCUUUCCUCUGAGAUUAGCUUCUAGCGGUAGUACCUCAGCCUCUUUCCCCUUCUGAUUUGAGAUGGCUUCUUUCUUUCAAUUGAAAAAAGACACACAUAGAUAGAGAGGAAGGUAGGACGAUACAGUGAGAGAGGGGAUCCGGGAAAAGAAAAACGAAAGGGGGAUGGGAUUAGCCCAAAAUUUCAGCCAUGGACCUCUCUUAGAACACCACGAACACCACCAUUUUCAGCUCUAAUACUCGAGCUCAAAUCAGCCCCAAACCCAUGUAAAAGCUCUGAAAACCCAACUGAAAUUCCUAUACCAAAAAGUCCCAAAAACAGCCAUCAACACUUCAAUUUCUCCUCCUAUAAAUCCCUCUUGUGCCUGAGCUUCCCUCGCUGACGAGCUCCAAGGCUGGAACAAACCGCUACUGUUUGUUUCUAUUUUUCUGGGUUUUAAAAUGCUACUAUGGUUGAAAAUUUGCUGUUGCUCCUUGUUCGGAUCUAUUGGUUUUCCGCUGUGCUAAGCUCAUUUCUCAUCUAGCCUUUAGUUGGAGUUUUGGAGGUGAUAUCUACACACGCAGGGAACAUCCUGUUCACAAAGUUUUCGGCAGUGGUAAACAUUUUAAAGAGCAAAAAUAUUAAGAGAUGGUCUGCUUUGUCAGAUGUUUGGAGGUUCUAGUUUAUCUGAGGUCGAUUUGGGUUUCGAGCUCUCCUGUGUCGAUUUGAGGUUCCGAUUCUUAAUUUUGAUGUUUCAAUCUCAAGAUUGUUGCCUUGUUCAGCCUGAUUGAUUUGCAAUAUUUAGUUUUGUUCAUCAAUAAAAGGCCUAUUUCUCAA
Non-coding RNA from Nicotiana tabacum (common tobacco), 961 nucleotides. Lineage: Eukaryota; Viridiplantae; Streptophyta; Magnoliopsida; Solanales; Solanaceae. The record is from RefSeq and is a predicted model, not a curated record.